AAAAAUUGUUUGGUCAUCCCUCCUUUUCUGCUACGCAGCCAAGGUGACGACUGCUAAGGGCAAGCAGUGGGCAAUGAUACAACAUCCAGGGAUCGCCACAGUGAAUCCUCUGCUCCAGCUCACCCUGUCCCGGGAGUCCUUUUUCUGUCACAGCAGCUCUCUGUAUGUCCUCCUUCACGAUAUCCAUGAACGAAUGAGGCACAAAUGAGGCACAGCUAAGACACCAAUCAGGCUUACUGGAUGGUUUUGACUCUCAUUCAUGCAACCCACCUCCUCCUCAUCUCCACCUCACAGACCCCUCAGUCAGAACUCCAUCCAAGCUUCAGUCUUCAACUUCACCACCACCCGCUUCUAGACUUUGGAGGGUCCUGUCCUAAAUAUGAUCACCGCUGGAAUUUGGUUAUACCACGAUGGGUCA
Long non-coding RNA from Maylandia zebra (zebra mbuna), 418 nucleotides. RefSeq lists it as uncharacterized. The record is from RefSeq and is a predicted model, not a curated record. NCBI's taxonomy places the organism in Eukaryota, Metazoa, Chordata, Actinopteri, Cichliformes, Cichlidae.